ACUGGACUCAGCACUGGCACAGAGGCAGCACAGCUAUGUGGGAAGAACACAGGCUGGUCUGCAGGUGUCUAGAUUUGGAUCCUAGCUCUGUUACUUACUACUUUGUGACUUUGAGCAAAUUCACGUCUCUGAAAGAUAAGGGAAACUGAGGUACAGAGGAGGGGAAGAGCCAUGAUUGACUUCAUGCAACUCAUCAGGGAGGGCACCCAGAUUUACACGUGGAUCUGUGUCACUACAAAGCAGUGCCCUUGACUUAACACUCCAUCACUUUCCAUACAAGCUUCAAACUGAACUCCACCUUCAUUAGCUUGGUGAGCGCAGACCGCUGAACUCUUCUAACAUCUGUCUUAGAGGUUAUGUGUUGGCUGCUGCGUUCAGAGCUAUCCUAAAAGUAACUGAAACAAGGGAUUUUUGACUCCAUGGCUAAACAGUUUCUGGGGAGCAGACCUUGAUUCUACCAUUACUUAGAAAACAAAUCAAAUUAGAGUCAGACUAGUGAUGUUGUCAGAACUUUUCAAACAUAAAGACCCAUGAAUGGACAUGUACACUUGGGAUCAAAAGCACUCUCCUCUUCCAAACAGCAGUCUACACUUGGCCUUUUGAGAGGCUGAGCUAUUGCCAAGGACUAUUUAGAUGGAAGAUUUGAUUGUUGGUCAAGGAGACACUGAAGAAGAGAUAAGAUGGUGUACUGGAAUGGAAGGAAGGCUCUGGACAUCAGAACUUUGGGCCACUGUACUGCUGUGUAAAUUUGCGAAACCUACUUAAUCCUUAUGGACUGUUUCCUCAUCUGGAAAAUGAGUUAAAUGAGAUCCAUUUUAUAAAAUUGUUGUAAUGAUUAUAUAAGUAAACACAUAGUAAUAUUAUUUGAUUUUAUUAUUAUUAUUAUGACUUGUCACUCAAAGCAUUUAGCUUUGGUGUCUCUAAUAUUCAGUACUCACAUUUAUGUUCAAAUUUGGAUGCUAGGUAGAAAUGAAGACUUUGUAUCUGCCACCAGAGAAGGCUAUUUAUUAUUUGUCAUUGCCUGUCACGAACUCACAAAGAUAGUAUUUGCCUAUCCAAAGGUAUCUAAUUCCUCAGUUUCUUAUGUGACUAUAAAGGGGCCUACUUUGAUCUUACCAUGAACUCAAAUCCUUUCGAAAUUUCAAUUUGUCAGUUUUGAUAUUUGCUUCUCUCUCUUUUCUACUCCUCUUAUCCAGGAAAGGAGGCACAUUGUAGUUUUUGACUUAAUAAUGGGACCUAUAUUAAUAGUAAAGAAAGUUCAGAAGCCAAGAGAAAACCUGUGAAAUGAUAAAAAAAGGUAGAUGGAUAUAUUUUUUUAAAAUGUUCUGCCAAACACCUUUGAAUUGGCACCAUUGGGAAUACCUUUCAACAUGUAGGUUUAAGAAAACAUUUAGCUUUAUAAAGCCGCAGAGAAAAUCUUGUGAUAAAAUUAGUCAGAGUUGAGUAGAAAUGGAUUAAAGAAGGAACCAAAGAAUUUAACUCAUCAGCGAGAGGGGAUAAAACCAGGUCCUCGACCUGGAAUUCCCACAGGGUCAGGGCUCUCCCCAGUGUUUUUUCACUGCUGGUUCCACAGAUGACAGAGGGGAUGGGUGGAGAGAUAUGUUAUCCUAGACUGGUCACUUGUGCAAGCAGACCACAAUUGGGAGGAGGUCCACUAGUAUUUGAGGAAAACUAUUUAGAAGUGGGCAUCUUCUAAAUAGUUGGGAAUUAUUGAAAAGCAUUAGCCCAUUAGUUGUGAGAUAGAUGGAAGAUCAUGAAUCAGAGCGAUAUUAGAGUUUUCCUUUAUCUGGAGCUGGAUAGCCCUAAAAUAGCCAGGGAGGUGGUGUAGAUGGCCACAGUGGAUAGUGCACUGUGAGGCUUCCUGCUGGCUGUAGUUGUCCAAGGAAGAUGGACCCAUUAUGGGCAUGGGCUUCUCAAAAGGCUUGUCAUGGUCAAAAUGCUUCUGAGUUAUUGGAAAAACAAUGGUGUUCAAGGGCUGGGCCAUCAUUUGGAUCUUUCCUUGAGGUCACUAACCCUGUAAUGAAGAAGCACCUUGUCACUGGACACAAUGCUGGUUCCUGGCUGCUGGGGAUGUUCUAACUCUGGUGGAGAGCUAACAACAACAUGAGUCACCUUACACUUACCUGCUGUGCCUUUCGCUUAAGACUGUUUCUGUCACCGGGUGUCAUGGACAGCAGUUGGCUCCUAAUGUGACAGGCUGGCUUCAGGGAACCAACUCUCCAUUACUCUGUGCUACAGAAUACAUGCAGACCCAAGGAAGAUGCUUGUCUGCCUGUCUGGUCCAUCCAGGGCCAUGACCUUCAAAUACACUCUAACCCCUGAGCCCUGUCUUCCUUCCUAACAUUUGCUGGUGAAAGGUCUGGCCUCAGCAUCUCUCUCAAAAAAAAAA
RNAcentral lists this long non-coding RNA (2389 nucleotides) under Homo sapiens (human). RNAcentral's name for it is "HSALNT0300991". Lineage: Eukaryota; Metazoa; Chordata; Mammalia; Primates; Hominidae. The record is from RNAcentral.